RNAcentral lists this ribosomal RNA (1405 nucleotides) under uncultured bacterium. RNAcentral describes it as "bacterial SSU rRNA". It matches the Rfam family "Bacterial small subunit ribosomal RNA". The record is from RNAcentral.
GAGUUUGAUCAUGGCUCAGGACGAACGCUGGCGGCGUGCCUAAUACAUGCAAGUAGAACGCUGAAGAGAGGAGCUUGCUCUUCUUGGAUGAGUUGCGAACGGGUGAGUAACGCGUAGGUAACCUGCCUUGUAACGGGGGAUAACUAUUGGAAACGAUAGCUAAUACCGCAUAACAAUAGGUGACACAUGUCAUUUAUUUGAAAGGGGCAAUUGCUCCACUACAAGAUGGACCUGCGUUGUAUUAGCUAGUAGGUGAGGUAACGGCUCACCUAGGCGACGAUACAUAGCCGACCUGAGAGGGUGAUCGGCCACACUGGGACUGAGACACGGCCCAGACUCCUACGGGAGGCAGCAGUAGGGAAUCUUCGGCAAUGGGGGCAACCCUGACCGAGCAACGCCGCGUGAGUGAAGAAGGUUUUCGGAUCGUAAAGCUCUGUUGUAAGUCAAGAACGAGUGUGAGAGUGGAAAGUUCACACUGUGACGGUAGCUUACCAGAAAGGGACGGCUAACUACGUGCCAGCAGCCGCGGUAAUACGUAGGUCCCGAGCGUUGUCCGGAUUUAUUGGGCGUAAAGCGAGCGCAGGCGGUUUGAUAAGUCUGAAGUUAAAGGCUGUGGCUCAACCAUAGUUCGCUUUGGAAACUGUCAAACUUGAGUGCAGAAGGGGAGAGUGGAAUUCCAUGUGUAGCGGUGAAAUGCGUAGAUAUAUGGAGGAACACCGGUGGCGAAAGCGGCUCUCUGGUCUGUAACUGACGCUGAGGCUCGAAAGCGUGGGGAGCGAACAGGAUUAGAUACCCUGGUAGUCCACGCCGUAAACGAUGAGUGCUAGGUGUUGGAUCCUUUCCGGGAUUCAGUGCCGCAGCUAACGCAUUAAGCACUCCGCCUGGGGAGUACGACCGCAGGGUUGAAACUCAAAGGAAUUGACGGGGGCCCGCACAAGCGGUGGAGCAUGUGGUUUAAUUCGAAGCAACGCGAAGAACCUUACCAGGUCUUGACAUCCCGAUGCUAUUUCUAGAGAUAGAAAGUUACUUCGGUACAUCGGUGACAGGUGGUGCAUGGUUGUCGUCAGCUCGUGUCGUGAGAUGUUGGGUUAAGUCCCGCAACGAGCGCAACCCCUAUUGUUAGUUGCCAUCAUUCAGUUGGGCACUCUAGCGAGACUGCCGGUAAUAAACCGGAGGAAGGUGGGGAUGACGUCAAAUCAUCAUGCCCCUUACGACCUGGGCUACACACGUGCUACAAUGGUUGGUACAACGAGUUGCGAGUCGGUGACGGCAAGCUAAUCUCUUAAAGCCAAUCUCAGUUCGGAUUGUAGGCUGCAACUCGCCUACAUGAAGUCGGAAUCGCUAGUAAUCGCGGAUCAGCACGCCGCGGUGAAUACGUUCCCGGGCCUUGCACACACCGCCCGUC